This 254-nucleotide ribosomal RNA is filed under the name uncultured bacterium. Its description in RNAcentral is "partial 16S ribosomal RNA". It matches the Rfam family "Bacterial small subunit ribosomal RNA", at positions 524 to 776 of the family's 1533-position model. The record is from RNAcentral.
UACGGGGGGAGCAAGCGUUGUUCGGAUUUACUGGGCGUAAAGGGCGCGUAGGCGGUCGUGACAGUUCACUUUUGAAAUCUCCGGGCUUAACUCGGAACGGUCAAGUGAUACUGUCGGACUAGAGUACAGAAGGGGCAACUGGAAUUCCCGGUGUAGAGGUGAAAUUCGUAGAUAUCAGGAGGAACACCGGUGGCGAAGGCGGUUCUCUGGGCAUUACCUGACGCUGAGGAGCGAAAGUGUGGGGAGCGAACAGG